UGCGGUGUAGCUCAGUUGUAGAGUGCUUGUCUAACAUGCAUGAGGUCCUAGAUUCCAUCCCAAGCAUGGCAA
Molecule: transfer RNA, 72 nt
Filed under: Heterocephalus glaber (naked mole-rat)
Lineage: Eukaryota; Metazoa; Chordata; Mammalia; Rodentia; Bathyergidae
Rfam family: tRNA
About the family: Transfer RNA (tRNA) molecules are approximately 80 nucleotides in length.
Source: Rfam by way of RNAcentral